CCAUAGAUACUAUAUAUACCAAGUGGAUGCGAAACAGGAAGUGGAUUGUACAUGAAAUUAUAUUGGUGACGUCACGAGCAGUAUGCCUAUGCUCUUUUCGCUCUAGCGUAGCCUCUACUGGCCUUGUUUCUCGAAGUUUUGGGUUCUUGGUCAAGUUACUACUUUCCUGAGUUGAAGUAAGCAUUAUGAAGUCUCUAUUAGCUCGAAUGACCUGCUGAAUCCUUGUUUGCUUGAUCACUGGAUCUCGUUGUACUGUAAAACAUGGCGGCCUAUAGUUCUGACUUUAAACACUUUUCUCCAAUCUGGGGCAGAGUUAGGUAUGAAUAUGAAACCAAUGAAGAUAAAUUGUCUGUUGUUUCUUGUAUUGACUCUUUUCAGAAGAAAUAUAGAUUUUUAUGAA
Molecule: long non-coding RNA, 400 nt
Filed under: Amphimedon queenslandica
Lineage: Eukaryota; Metazoa; Porifera; Demospongiae; Haplosclerida; Niphatidae
Description: uncharacterized LOC109593118
Source: RNAcentral